Molecule: long non-coding RNA, 668 nt
Filed under: Mus musculus (house mouse)
Lineage: Eukaryota; Metazoa; Chordata; Mammalia; Rodentia; Muridae
Description: DNA segment, Chr 6, ERATO Doi 527, expressed
Source: RNAcentral
CAUUGGUUCCUGCCUCUAGGAACCUCCUGCCCUGACUUCUCUGGAUGAUGGACUACAAGUUCACCAGCAAGUGCAUGGCACAAGCCUCCACACCUCAGUGUCUCAUUACCCAAAGGAUGGUGGUCCAGACCUGCAAGUAGCCGCCGCCGCUGCAGCAGCAGCAGUCGGAGCAGCCUCAGCAGCCGCAGCAGUGACACCAGCACCAGCAGUGACACCAGCAGUGACACCAGCACCAGCACUAGCACCAGCACCAGCACCAGCCACAGCAACAACAGCAGCAGCAACAGCAGCAGAAAACCUAGUAACAAAGGCAGCAGCAGCCUCUCGAGCAGCAGCAGCAACAGCAGCAGCAAACCUAGUGACACAGACAGCAACAGCAGCAGCAUCUCUUGCAGCAGCAACAGCCCUAGUAACACAGACAGCAGCAGCCUCUCUAGCAGCAGCAGCAACAGCAGCAGACCUAGUAACACAGGCAGCAGCAGCCUCUCUAGCAGCAGCAGCAACAGCAGCAGACCUAGUAACACAGGCAGCAGUAGCAGCAGCAGCAGCAACAGCAGCAACAUCAGCAACAGCAGCAUCAGACCUAGUAACAGGGGCAGCAUCAGCAACUAUGACAACAGCAGCAACAGCAGCAGUCCCCAACCCUCUAGUGGCAACAUCAGCAACAG